UCUCUCGUCUUUUCUCUUUCUCAUCCGUUGCAUCUCUGAUGAACGACAAAAGGAGCCAGCAGCAGUUUGAGAAGUAGACGAAAAGCUUUUUGACUCCCGAGGAAAAACUAUUUCGCCCCACCUUCCCCUCUGGCACGAGGUAAUGAGCAUGGUAAUCUGUUGGAUGAGGGCCUUCAAGACUCUGAUUUUCAGAGUCAUCAUCAAUCUAGAAAUGAUUGGAUUCGAUGAAACGAGGAUUUCUUUCAACAACGAAAGGCAAAAGCUUCAAUUUUAAUCCGACAAGAGUCGUGAGCUAAAGCUUCCACUGUCAUCAGCUUAAAUCCGACUUUCACUCUGCAGCUCUGCGG
Molecule: long non-coding RNA, 347 nt
Organism: Daphnia carinata
Lineage: Eukaryota; Metazoa; Arthropoda; Branchiopoda; Diplostraca; Daphniidae
Exons: 3
Source: RefSeq, a predicted model, not a curated record